UGGGGAAUUUUGGACAAUGGGGGCAACCCUGAUCCAGCAAUGCCGCGUGUGUGAAGAAGGCCUUCGGGUUGUAAAGCACUUUUGUCCGGAAAGAAAUCGCCCUGGCUAAUAUCCGGGGUGGAUGACGGUACUGGAAGAAUAAGCACCGGCUAACUACGUGCCAGCAGCCGCGGUAAUACGUAGGGUGCGAGCGUUAAUCGGAAUUACUGGGCGUAAAGCGUGCGCAGGCGGUUGUGCAAGACAGAUGCGAAAUCCCCGGGCUUAACCUGGGAAUGGCAUUUGUGACUGCACGGCUAGAGUGUGUCAGAGGGGGGUAGAAUUCCACGUGUAGCAGUGAAAUGCGUAGAUAUGUGGAGGAACACCGAUGGCGAAGGCAGCCCCCUGGGAUAACACUGACGCUCAUGCACGAAAGCGUGGGGAGCAAACAGGAUUAGAUACCCUGGUAGUCCACGCCCUAAAACGAUGUCAACUAGUUGUCGGGUCUUAAUUGACUUGGUGACGCAGCUAACGCGUGAAGUUGACCGCCUGGGGAGUACGGUCGCAAGAUUAAAAACUCAAAGGAA
RNAcentral lists this ribosomal RNA (563 nucleotides) under uncultured bacterium. Its description in RNAcentral is "partial 16S ribosomal RNA". It matches the Rfam family "Bacterial small subunit ribosomal RNA", at positions 355 to 909 of the family's 1533-position model. The record is from RNAcentral.